CCAAUAGCGUAUAUUAAAGUUGUUGCAGUUAAAAAGCUCGUAGUUGAAUUUCGGGGUUAGUAGGUCGGUCAUGCCACUGGUAUGUACUGGUCUCACUGAUUCCUCCUUCCUGAUGAACCGUAAUGCCAUUAACUUGGUGUUGCGGGGAGACUGGACUGUUACUUUGAAAAAAUUAGAGUGUUUAAAGCAGGCUAACGCUUGAAUACAUUAGCAUGGAAUAAUGAAAUAGGACGUUCGAUCCUAUUUUGUUGGUUUCUAGGAUUGACGUAAUGAUUAAUAGGGAUAGUUGGGGGCAUUAGUAUUCAAUUGUCAGAGGUGAAAUUCUUGGAUUUAUUGAAGACUAACUACUGCGAAAGCAUUUGCCAAGGAUGUUUUCAUUAAUCAAGAACGAAAGUUAGGGGAUCGAAGACGAUCAGAUACCGUCGUAGUCUUAACCAUAAACUAUGCCGACUAGGGAUCGGAUGAUGUUAAUUUUUUAAUGACUCAUUCGGCGCCUUACG
RNAcentral lists this ribosomal RNA (500 nucleotides) under uncultured Glomeromycotina. Its description in RNAcentral is "partial small subunit ribosomal RNA". It matches the Rfam family "Eukaryotic small subunit ribosomal RNA", at positions 591 to 1092 of the family's 1831-position model. Lineage: Eukaryota; Fungi; Glomeromycota. The record is from RNAcentral.